RNAcentral lists this unclassified non-coding RNA (240 nucleotides) under soil metagenome. RNAcentral describes it as "partial contains 5.8S ribosomal RNA, internal transcribed spacer 2, and large subunit ribosomal RNA". The record is from RNAcentral.
AACCUAGCACACCUGCGGUGUGUACCUGCGGAAGGAUCAUUACAGAGUUGCAAAACUCCCUAAACCAUUGUGAACGUUACCUAAACCGUUGCUUCGGCGGGCGGCCCGGGUCCUUCCCGGCGCCCCUCGGCCCUCGCGGGCGCCCGCCGGAGGUAAACCAAACUAUUGCAUUGUAUGGCCUCUCUGAGUCUUCUGUACUGAAUAAGUCAAAACUUUCAACAACGGAUCUCAGAUCGGAAG